AACGAACGCUGGCGGCAUGCCUAACACAUGCAAGUCGAACGAGGUCUGGAGCUUGCUCCGGGUGCCUAGUGGCGAACGGGUGAGUAACGCGUGGGAACCUGCCCUGGAGUGGGGAACAACCUUUGGAAACGAAGGCUAAUACCGCAUACGCUCUGAGGAGGAAAGGCUUCGGCCGCUCUUGGAUGGUCCCGCGUCUGAUUAGCUUGUUGGUGGGGUAACGGCCUACCAAGGCGACGAUCAGUAGCUGGUCUGAGAGGAUGAUCAGCCACACUGGGACUGAGACACGGCCCAG
Molecule: ribosomal RNA, 292 nt
Filed under: uncultured bacterium
Lineage: Bacteria
Description: partial 16S ribosomal RNA
Rfam family: Bacterial small subunit ribosomal RNA
Source: RNAcentral